This is a long non-coding RNA of Centruroides sculpturatus (bark scorpion), 375 nucleotides long. RefSeq lists it as uncharacterized. Lineage: Eukaryota; Metazoa; Arthropoda; Arachnida; Scorpiones; Buthidae. The record is from RefSeq and is a predicted model, not a curated record. The transcript is spliced from 3 exons.
UCUAGGUUAAAGAAGACUCUCGAAUAAAGAAAAAUGGAAUUUAUCUUUUCUAGUAAAUAAAAAUGAAGAAAAAAGAAGGAACUUCCGAAUAAAAAAAGCUAAAAUUACAGUGAAAGAAUCUUCGAAAGCGAGGUAAAAAGGGACGAACUCGAAACACGUUUUGUGGCGGCACACACGCAGAUUUAAAUGCUGCUGGCUAAUUUUCACCCUCAAAAUACAGAAAACAAUCUACAAAAAAAAAGGAAUGAAAUUCAAUCCUGCAAGAAUGAAUUCCACAGUUUACGCUAAAAAAAAUUUGUAUUUUACAGACUUGAACGUUUUGAAAUUUUUUUUUAUACGAAACGUGUUAUAAAGGAAGUAUCCUUUUUAUUUGAA